GACGAACGCUGGCGGCGUGCUUAACACAUGCAAGUCGAACGGAAAGGCGCUGCUUUUUUGGGGGGCUCGGGUGGCGAAGGGAAGAGUAACAUGAGAGUAACCUGCCCUGGACUCUGGGAUAACUUAACGAAACUGGGGCUAGUACAGUAUAGGAGCUCCUGCUGCUGGGUGGGGGUUGGAAAGGUUCGGCCGUUGGGUAGGGGGUGGCGGCUUGUCAGGCCGUUCGGGGGGUAGUGGCUUACCCAGGCUUGGAAGGGUGGCCGGCCUGAGAGGGUUAGCGGCCACACUGGGACUGAGAUGCGGCCCAGACUUCUACAGUAGGCAGCAGUGGGGAAUAGUGUACUACGGGCGGAAGGCUUAUGCAGUAGCGCCGUGCGCGUGAUGACGGUCUUCGGGUUGUGAAGCGCUUCCGCCUGGUAUGAAGCGUGGGUGACGGUAAUUGGUAAAGAAGCACCGGCUAACUACGUG
This 468-nucleotide ribosomal RNA is filed under the name uncultured bacterium. RNAcentral describes it as "partial 16S ribosomal RNA". It matches the Rfam family "Bacterial small subunit ribosomal RNA", at positions 28 to 507 of the family's 1533-position model. The record is from RNAcentral.